This 402-nucleotide ribosomal RNA is filed under the name uncultured bacterium. RNAcentral describes it as "bacterial SSU rRNA". It matches the Rfam family "Bacterial small subunit ribosomal RNA", at positions 355 to 774 of the family's 1533-position model. The record is from RNAcentral.
UGGGGAAUAUUGGACAAUGGGCGAAAGCCUGGUCCAGCCAUGCCGCGUGAGUGAUGAAGGCCUUAGGGUUGUAAAGCUCUUUCACCCACGACGAUGAUGACGGUAGUGGGAGAAGAAGCCCCGGCUAACUUCGUGCCAGCAGCCGCGGUAAUACGAAGGGGGCUAGCGUUGUUCGGAAUUACUGGGCGUAAAGCGCACGCAGGCGGUGGUCAUAGUCAGAAGUGAAAGCCCUGGGCUCAACCCGGGAAUUGCUUUUGAUACUGGACCGCUAGAAUCACGGAGAGGGUAGUGGAAUUCCGAGUGUAGAGGUGAAAUUCGUAGAUAUUCGGAAGAACACCAGUGGCGAAGGCGACUACCUGGCCGUCGAUUGACGCUCAUGUGCGAAAGCGUGGGGAGCAAACA